UUCGAAAUUACAGUAAUGUUUACUUACUCCGCGCUAUUUACGAGGUUUUAAAGGGGGGCAAAACGCAGAAACCGAAAAACAUACAUUUUAUUUUUAUAACUGUAAUUAAUAAUAAUAUAAUAAUAAACAAUAGAAGGUGAUUAACGUAGGAAAAACAAGAAUAAAAAUGGUUCACUUUUUCCUGUAGCGAUUGCGUGUUAGUAAAACCAACAGGGAACGUGGGAGUAAAAAAAAAACGGGGAGCAGUUAUGCAGAAAGCGUAAAGUUUUCGAUGUGGACCGUGUCACGAAACAAUGAAGGUUGCAUGGUUGAGUUUCCAUUAGGAAUGGAGAAAGAUUUCAUUUCCUACAACUUAAAAAGAGGCAGCUAACGGCACUACUUGGCACAGAACAGCAAUUGCAUGCUGAGUACUUCUAAGAGAUGCCCAAAAAAGAGCAUAACCCAAGACCCUGUGAUGGAUGUCCGAAUGAGCAGCCAUGACCAACUCAUUGUCUCACACUAGGUAACAUUGCUAAACAAGGUAUCCUGUAUACAGUUAAAGGAAAUGUAAGAGUUUGAGUAAAAUUUUUCAUGUUUCAUUGAACAGUCUUAGCCAAAGACAACAGAUGCAGUAUGGUGCUGAUCAUGUUAAAACUAUUGUUUCUUUUACAUAAGCAUACAGCAAUUUCUAGUAUGGUGUUUAUUGACAUAAUGGUGUAGUUGGCUGCUGUAAAAGCUACAACGUUGGCAGAUUGUGGGGUAUGUACCACCUAUAAAUUGCAAAUGUAAUACAGUGGAGCAUUGAUUAUCCAACUCAAUUGGGGACUGGGAUAACUGAAAAAAAUGGAUAACCGAAAAGUAUGAAAAAAUACAUUAUUUUUAUAGUA
Long non-coding RNA from Centruroides sculpturatus (bark scorpion), 866 nucleotides. RefSeq lists it as uncharacterized. The record is from RefSeq and is a predicted model, not a curated record. The transcript is spliced from 4 exons. NCBI's taxonomy places the organism in Eukaryota, Metazoa, Arthropoda, Arachnida, Scorpiones, Buthidae.